Molecule: ribosomal RNA, 468 nt
Filed under: uncultured bacterium
Lineage: Bacteria
Description: partial 16S ribosomal RNA
Rfam family: Bacterial small subunit ribosomal RNA
Source: RNAcentral
GACGAACGCUGGCGGCGUGCUUAACACAUGCAAGUCGAACGGAAAGGCCCUGCUUUUGUGGGGUGCUCGAGUGGCGAACGGGUGAGUAACACGUGAGUAACCUGCCCUUGACUUUGGGAUAACUUCAGGAAACUGGGGCUAAUACCGGAUAGGAGCUCCUGCUGCAUGGUGGGGGUUGGAAAGUUUCGGCGGUUGGGGAUGGACUCGCGGCUUAUCAGCUUGUUGGUGGGGUAGUGGCUUACCAAGGCUUUGACGGGUAGCCGGCCUGAGAGGGUGACCGGCCACAUUAGGACUGGGAUACGGCCCAGACUCCUACGGGAGGCAGCGGUGGAGAAUAUUACACAAUGGGCGGAAGCCUGAUGCAGCAACGCCGCGUGCGGGAUGACGGCCUUCGGGUUGUAAACCGCUUUCGCCUGUGACGAAGCGUGAGUGACGGUAAUGGGUAAAGAAGCACCGGCUAACUACGUG